CCUGCAAAUAAUAUGCACACGUAGUACACACAAACAACACACGGUGUAUCAGAAUCCCACUGUCUAUUGGACGGUGCCGGGGGUGGAGAGUAAUGUUUCACUGCGUAUGUGCGCCACACAAGGAAUGUUCAGGACAACAACACUGCUGGAGCGACGGUGGUAAAUAUCGGCAAACGGCACCCGACCGUGCAAUGCAGGAGCUAUCGCACGCGCUACCUGCCCUGAGAGUCUCGCACUACUGCUACUUCUGCCAGCCCAAAAUCACGUUGCAAAAAGGAAGAAAAUCGUCGUCACCAGCAAAAACACACAAGGAGGCCGUAAAACCGUGUCCUUUUUGUUUGGCACAUGCAGCGAAACACACACUCCAACGCGGUUGGUGUGAGCCACACUAUGCGACACGCUUAUCAGCGCAGGAGCCGGCCCAAACGAACGAAGCUUUUGAGUACAGGGUAGAACAACCCUAUCAUUGAAUGUAUCAAAUUGGCCAUAGAACCAUAGAAUGGUAAACUCAUCAUGUUCUGCAAUCCAUUACAGCGGCACAGUCAUGUGAGAAAUUAUCAGCCAGGAAGAGCCUCGAGCUACGCCAUAUCUGUACCAAACGGUACCAAGCGCUUAGACAGCAGCCCGGUUCGAUGUACCUGUUCCAUCCGUGCGAGUUAGUUUUAAGUUUUAAAACUUCCCGCGCGUACCAGAUGCAGAUGGCCUUGAUCCUUGACCACCAACAACCCAUUUCCAGCGCUGCCCACCCCUUGCCGUGCCGAAAUGGUGCAUCGCUUGAUGUCGCCGACAUCCCCCGUGGCUCAUGAAUAAAUUAAAUGACAAUUUAUUUACCCAACCGACGACGCAUCAUCAUCGGUGUCCAUCCAUCCUGUUCCUGGUGGUACACAAAACACGUGUGCCCGCGCGGGGUACGGUUGUGUGGCGACGGGCGGCAGUGGCACUGAUUCCCGAUAAUGGUGAUAUGAAUAAAUUUGACGGAACAGGUUUUUUCUCCCACAGAACUGGUAUUGCGAUACAGAUAUAUGUAUAUUCCUCGCUUGACCAAACCCCGGGUCCAUUCGACCGGGCGAAGAUCCGUUGAAUGAAAGGCUUAAUUAUUAGUCAUAAUUCUACCGCCGUGUUUCGUGUUAAGGUAUUAUUAUUAUUGAGAGCCCACACCGGGCUCAGGUUGGGGAGAACAAAAACUUUGGGAGAAAAUUUGGGCGCACAUUUUGCGAUAGAUUCGACACAAAUAACGGAAGGGAUUCAAAUUUAUGAUUGUCAGUAAAUGGUCGAUGGAUUUACAUUUUCGAAUAUUAUUCUUAGCCAUUUUUGCACUUGAGACAUUAGGAGAUUGCAAUCUAUUU
Molecule: long non-coding RNA, 1346 nt
Organism: Anopheles arabiensis
Lineage: Eukaryota; Metazoa; Arthropoda; Insecta; Diptera; Culicidae
Exons: 3
Source: RefSeq, a predicted model, not a curated record